Long non-coding RNA from Papaver somniferum (opium poppy), 3006 nucleotides. RefSeq lists it as uncharacterized. Lineage: Eukaryota; Viridiplantae; Streptophyta; Magnoliopsida; Ranunculales; Papaveraceae. The record is from RefSeq and is a predicted model, not a curated record. The transcript is spliced from 3 exons.
CUUGCGGCUUUUGUUAUUUCUUUAGUGAUCAAGUAGCUUUGCUCAUCUCCACUAAAUUUUUCGAGCUCUAUGCGCUAUGCUCUGGAGAUGACUAAACAAGCAUAGGUUCUCCGCCUUUUUUGUUUGUUUGUUUGGUUGAUGUCUGUUAUCCACACAACUAGCGUUCUUGUAGUGGACUUCGUGCUCAGGAUCUGAGCUUACUAUUAGUGGUGUUCUUGCGCCCUCGUCUGUUGAAAGGUCAUGUGCUCACACUUAAUUCUCUCACUGGUCAAGAGAAGCUUCAUCUGCUUGUCCUACACUCUCAUCUUUCAGAAGGGCUUCUUUCUUUUAUUCUUGUCACCUUACUAAUUAGAGGAGUUUCAUGUUUUUUGAUUUCAACACGUGUUUUUGGCUUGUUUUCUCUUCCUCUUGGAGUGGACUAUAUGAGGUAAUCCGUAUCAAAGAGUGCUUGUAAAAUUUGUGUUUGUCUUACUAUUAGUAUUAUCCUCAUCGUGGAUUAUGCGUUCAGGUAUUCUGCAUAUUUAUCAGAUUAAUGAUCUCCUAUUUUGAUUUUUGGAAAUUUUUUAUAGCAUAACUCGCUAUUGGUAUCAUUAAUGUGAUGGAUUAUGCGCUCGCUCGCUAUUUGUAUCUUAGCAUGUCUUCAUAGUAUUGCAGUAUCGCCACUUGGUGUAAGUGUCUAGUCCUCAGUCGCGUUUUUUUAAUAACGUCAAUCUUGCCUUAACGAUUGGUCUAUCAUAUUUUUUUACUGGAAUCCAUUGCCUUGUUCGUAUAUGUUGAUGCCUCUCUAAUUUUUCUCGGAAAACUUCAUUUGCUUUCUUCUUUUGAUGAAUCCAUUUUACUUUUCUCUUUCUCGUACGUUUUGAUUCUACUCUUCCACGUCAUUAUUAUUCUUGUAUCAUCUUUUCCUUUUUUUUCUUUUCCUCUUUAUUUUUUUUUGAUGGGAGUCAUUCGUAUGUUGAUUACCAUGACAUGGCGAGUAGGUUGAUAGUCUUCGCUCAACUUAAUUUGUUUUCAUACUCCUCGUAUCAUCCGAAGGUGGUUAUGUGUAGCAGCACUAGGUGUUUGGAGAAGAAGAAAUUCUUUCCUAUGUUCUCUCUCCCCCGACCCAAAUUUUUUUACAACUCGCGUUCCGAUUAUGUAUGUAUGAUUUUGGUGCUAGGAGUCACAUUGUGCUUUCUUUUUCUUUCGUUCUGGAACAAGCAACACCAAGUCUUGGUGUAUUCUCACCGCUUUCUCUUGUUCUAAAGCAAACAACACCUAAUCAUGGUGUAAUCUCAUUUCUUUCAUUUUAACAGGUAUUAUAAGAGGAUUUUUAUUUAUUUUUAUUUUUAUUUUUUGAAAUUUCGCUACGGUGUGACUUACUAUUGUUGUCAUCCUUGUCAUGGAGCUAUAUGAAUGGCAGAAAUCUUUUUCAUAAGUGUAUAGUCGAUCCACUCUUUUUGGGCUUUUACUUAUGUUGGAGUGUAUGGUCUCUUCAUCGCUUCUGUAUACUCAAAAUGGAGUACAUCUUAAGCUCCUCUCAUUUUGAGGUGUUCUCAUCGCUUUAGCUUUCUACCGUCCCAAAGCAAGCAACACUCUGUUUUGGUGUCUUUGUUUUUCAUAAAAGAAUCUACACCUUUUUUCUUGGAAUUUCGCCACGGUGAGACUUAUUAUUUGUAUCGUCUUUGUAUGGAUGAUUAUGAAGAAUUUUCUUCUUUUGGAUCAUUUUGCUACGAUGCAUCCACCACUAUCAAUAAUCACUUUCUUUCGUUCUAAAGAGAUUGAUGUAUUCUCAUUGCUUUCGUUUUCUUUCAUUUGAACUAGCGCAAAUGUAAUCAGAUUAAAGAUCUCCUGUUUUGACUUUCAGAUUUUUGUUAUGGCGUGGCUCGUUAUUGAUACCGUCCAUGUUGUGUAUUAUGCGCUUAUGCGUUUAGGAAAAUUUUCUUUCUAAGGUAAGAUUAGAGACAACAUUUCGUGUGGGAUGGAAAUGGUUUGUUCCCUUUUCUAUUUAAGGUAAGACCAUGGCCUUUUUAUUGGCGCUAGAUCCAGCUGCCUAUCAUCCUCUUAGAGUUUUCUUAUUCUGUCGGGGGCAUUCGCUCAUCUCAGAGCACUCGCCCAUCUCAGGGCACUCGCCCAUCUCAGGGCACUCACCCAUCUCAGGGCAUUCGCUCAUCUCAGAGCACUCACCCAUCUCAGGGCAUUCGCUCAUCUCAGAGCACUCACCCAUCUCAGGGCAUUCGCCCAUCUUAGCAUUCAAAUAAUAAUAAAAAACAACACAAGAUGAUAUUGUGCACUUGAGGGACUAUUCGCAAUAAAAUUAUGGACUUCCUCGGUUUGGAAUCAACGAGUGAGUGAUUUAGUGAUUUACAACAAGUAUAUGCACAUAUAAGGUAUGCUGGGACAUGCUUGGAGUCGUAUGCGCAGGUAUGCAAUUAGUUACAAUAGUCGAAGUUAAACAUACGAGAUUCUUGAGUCUGAUUUGGAUUUGCCUAAGCAAGGGUGUAGAUGCAGAUAAUGAUACUUAGCUUUAUUUGAAAUAAUUUUGAUGUUUUAUCAACUCCACAACAGUUCCAUCAUUUGGCUAUGGGCUUGACUUGCUGUAGCUCUUCGGUUUUUCAGGUAGAUCAGAUUUCAACAUUUGAAAUGUAUUUCCUGAAUCAAUAUCAGUAACUACUCUUGAUAGCUAAGGUGUCAAAGAGACUGUGCCCAAGCAAAUUUUUUUGCACGAUCUUUUUGUAGCUAGGCUUAAGAUGUGCAGUUCAGAUACAGAUGUGCAAUUUUUGAGCUACAACAUUGCAUAUAGCUACUCAAGUUGAGCUGUUAGUUGGCAAAUGUUAUAGAAAGGCUCAGGUAAAAUUGAAUACCGCAAGAUGUAUUUCUCUGGCUCUUAAUGAGAUAAAUUUAGUGCAACAUAUAUAUUGCAAGCUGUGUAGAUGAUGUUCAAGUUUAUCAGGUAUAACAUUAUUGUACAUGUCAUUUAGAUGCAAUCAAAAGCAAUAGACCAGCUAAUAAUGUAUGAGAUGUAAC